UACGUAGGGGGCUAGCGUUGUUCGGAAUCACUGGGCGUAAAGCGCACGUAGGCGGACUUGUAAGUCAGGGGUGAAAUCCCGGGGCUCAACCUCGGAACUGCCUUUGAUACUGCGAGUCUCGAGUCCGGAAGAGGUGAGUGGAAUUCCUAGUGUAGAGGUGAAAUUCGUAGAUAUUAGGAAGAACACCAGUGGCGAAGGCGGCUCACUGGUCCGGUACUGACGCUGAGGUGCGAAAGCGUGGGGAGCAAACAGG
RNAcentral lists this ribosomal RNA (253 nucleotides) under uncultured bacterium. RNAcentral describes it as "partial 16S ribosomal RNA". It matches the Rfam family "Bacterial small subunit ribosomal RNA", at positions 524 to 776 of the family's 1533-position model. The record is from RNAcentral.